AAGAGACAGCAGUAGCCGCGGUAAUACAGAGGGUGCGAGCGUUAAUCGGAUUUACUGGGCGUAAAGCGUGCGUAGGCGGCUAAUUGAGUCGGAUGUGAAAUCCCCGAGCUUAACUUGGGAAUUGCAUUCGAUACUGGUUAGCUAGAGUGUGGGAGAGGAUGGUAGAAUUCCAGGUGUAGCGGUGAAAUGCGUAGAGAUCUGGAGGAAUACCGAUGGCGAAGGCAGCCAUCUGGCCUAACACUGACGCUGAGGUACGAAAGCAUGGGGAGCAAACAGGAUUAGAGACCCCUGUAGUCCCUGUCUCUUAUAC
RNAcentral lists this ribosomal RNA (310 nucleotides) under uncultured bacterium. Its description in RNAcentral is "partial 16S ribosomal RNA". It matches the Rfam family "Bacterial small subunit ribosomal RNA", at positions 503 to 807 of the family's 1533-position model. The record is from RNAcentral.